AACUUUGCACAGUGGCAAUAUCAUAGCCAAUGAGGUUUAUCCAAGGCAUGAUUAUUGCUAAUCAUUUUAUU
RNAcentral lists this small nuclear RNA (71 nucleotides) under Chinchilla lanigera (long-tailed chinchilla). RNAcentral describes it as "U4 spliceosomal RNA (ENSCLAG00000020400.1)". It matches the Rfam family "U4 spliceosomal RNA", at positions 1 to 75 of the family's 138-position model. Rfam says of the family: U4 small nuclear RNA (U4 snRNA) is a component of the major U2-dependent spliceosome. The structure of U4 snRNA from yeast and human has been reported. Lineage: Eukaryota; Metazoa; Chordata; Mammalia; Rodentia; Chinchillidae. The record is from RNAcentral.